GAACGACAGCACAGGAGCAAUCCUGUGGCGAGUGUCGAACGGGUGAGUAAAAUAUCGGAACGACCCCAGUAGUGAGGGAUAGCCCGACGAAAGCCGGAUUAAUACCGCAUUACGACCUGUGGUGAAAGCGGGGGAUCGCAAAGACCUCGCGCUAUUGGAGCGGCAGAUAUCAGAUUAGCUUGUUGGUGGGGUAAAAAGCCCACCAAGGCGACGAUCUGUAGCUAGUCUGAGAGGACGACCAGCCACACUGGGACUGAGACACGGCCCAGACUCAUACGGGAGGCAGCAGUGGGGAAUUUUGGACAAUGGGCGCAAGCCUGAUCCAGCCAUGCCGCGUGUGGGAAGAAGGCCUUCGGGUUGUAAACCACUUUUGUCAGGGAAGAAACGGUCUGAUCUAAUACAUUGGACUAAUGACGGUACCUGAAGAAUAAGCACCGGCUAACUACGUGCCAGCAGCCGCGGUAAUACGUAGGGUGCAAGCGUUAAUCGGAAUUACUGGGCGUAAAGCGUGCGCAGGCGGCUUUGCAAGACAGAUGUGAAAUCCCCGGGCUCAACCUGGGAACUGCAUUUGUGACUGCAUGGCUAGAGUACGGUAGAGGGGGAUGGAAUUCCGCGUGUAGCAGUGAAAUGCGUAGAUAUGCGGAGGAACACCGAUGGCGAAGGCAAUCCCCUGGACCUGUACUGACGCUCAUGCACGAAAGCGUGGGGAGCAAACAGGAUUAGAUACCCUGGUAGUCCACGCCCUAAACGAUGUCAACUGGUUGUUGGACGGCUUGCUGUUCAGUAACGAAGCUAACGCGUGAAGUUGACCGCCUGGGGAGUACGGCAAGCAAGGUUG
RNAcentral lists this ribosomal RNA (838 nucleotides) under uncultured bacterium. Its description in RNAcentral is "bacterial SSU rRNA". It matches the Rfam family "Bacterial small subunit ribosomal RNA", at positions 64 to 896 of the family's 1533-position model. The record is from RNAcentral.